UACGAAGGGUGCAAGCGUUAAUCGGAAUUACUGGGCGUAAAGGGUGCGUAGGCGGUUAUUUAAGUCUGCCGUGAAAUCCCCGGGCUCAACCUGGGAAUGGCGGUGGAUACUGGAUAGCUAGAGUGUGUCAGAGGAUGGUGGAAUUCCCGGUGUAGCAGUGAAAUGCGUAGAGAUCGGGAGGAACACCAGUGGCGAAGGCGGCUACCUGGACCAGCACUGACACUCGAGGCACGAAAGCGUGGGGAGCAAACAGG
This 254-nucleotide ribosomal RNA is filed under the name uncultured bacterium. Its description in RNAcentral is "partial 16S ribosomal RNA". It matches the Rfam family "Bacterial small subunit ribosomal RNA", at positions 524 to 776 of the family's 1533-position model. The record is from RNAcentral.